AGUGCAACGAAGAAGAGGUGAGUAACCAAGCCUAAGUUGUUCAGAGAGUUGCGUAGGGUGUGAAGCAAUCAACUUAGUUGGUGAAUAUGGCCUUGGAGUGGGUUGAAACGAUGAUAAUGAACGUCGUUUCCGGGUGCGCCCGUUAUCGCGCUAGAGUAUCACCGCUUUUUUAGCGCGUACUUGAUAAGUGUCCAAAGGUGAUUUUGGGCAGAAUUCGGGUGGUAACACGAUGAUGAGUCGUCCCGUUG
RNAcentral lists this non-coding RNA (248 nucleotides) under Weissella cibaria. RNAcentral describes it as "T-box sequence". It matches the Rfam family "T-box leader". Rfam says of the family: Uncharged tRNA acts as the effector for transcription antitermination of genes in the T-box leader family. Lineage: Bacteria; Bacillati; Bacillota; Bacilli; Lactobacillales; Lactobacillaceae. The record is from RNAcentral.